This is a long non-coding RNA of Oncorhynchus tshawytscha (Chinook salmon), 559 nucleotides long. Lineage: Eukaryota; Metazoa; Chordata; Actinopteri; Salmoniformes; Salmonidae. The record is from Ensembl.
GCUAGAGGCUAGGGUCUGGAACCUAGAAGCUAGAGGCUAGUGUCUGGAGACUAGAGGCUAGCUUCUUCUUCUUCUUCUUCUUCUUCUUCUUCUUCUAUUGGAGGCUGUCAGGUCCAGAUGGAUGGAGGCUUUAUUAGGUGGCUAGAGGCUACGGUCUGGAGCAUUUGGUCUGGGGGCUAGAGGCUAGGGUCUGGAGUCUAGAGGCUAGGGUCUGGAGUCUAGAGGCUAGGGUCUGGAGCAUUUGGUCUGGGGGCUAGAGCCUGGGGUCUGGAGCCUUUGGUCUGGAGGCUGUUUGGAGGCAGUGGUCUGGGAGCCGGGGUAUGAAGCAGUGUGACCCAUUAUGUUUAAUGAUUAUGUUUAAUGAUGGCUGUUCGGAGCACAGUGGGCCCCUCGUCCUCCACUCUGGAUGUGUUUAUUUAUGUCCUAUCGACCCACGACCCACGGUCACAUCGACCCAUGGCAAACAGAGAUCCUAUCGGCCAACAGAGAUCUUAUUGACCCAUGGCCAACAGAGAUCCUAUCGACCAACAGAGAUCUUAUUGACCCACGGCCAAUAGAG